This 252-nucleotide ribosomal RNA is filed under the name uncultured bacterium. Its description in RNAcentral is "partial 16S ribosomal RNA". It matches the Rfam family "Bacterial small subunit ribosomal RNA", at positions 524 to 776 of the family's 1533-position model. The record is from RNAcentral.
UACAGAGGUCUCAAGCGUUGUUCGGAUUCAUUGGGCGUAAAGGGUGCGUAGGUGGCGGGGUAAGUCAGGUGUGAAAUCUCGAGGCUCAACCUCGAAACUGCACUUGAUACUGCCUUGCUGAGUACUGGAGAGGAGAUUGGAAUUUACGGUGUAGCAGUGAAAUGCGUAGAUAUCGUAAGGAAGACCAGUGGCGAAGGCGAAUCUCUGGACAGUUACUGACACUGAGGCACGAAGGCCAGGGGAGCAAACGGG